GGGGAAUCUUCCGCAAUGGGCGCAAGCCUGACGGAGCAACGCCGCGUGAGUGAAGAAGGCCUUCGGGUUGUAAAACUCUGUCAUCAGGGAAGAAGAAAGUGACGGUACCUGAGGAGGAAGCCCCGGCUAACUACGUGCCAGCAGCCGCGGUAAAACGUAGGGGGCGAGCGUUGUCCGGAAUUACUGGGCGUAAAGGGCGCGUAGGCGGUUAUCCAAGUCAGGGGUGAAAACCUUGGGCUCAACUCAGGGCCUGCCUCUGAAACUGGGUAACUUGAGGGCAGGAGAGGGGAGUGGAAUUCCCAGUGUAGCGGUGAAAUGCGUAGAUAUUGGGAGGAACACCAGUGGCGAAGGCGGCUCUCUGGCCCAACCCUGACGCUGAGGCGCGAAAGCGUGGGGAUCAAAC
RNAcentral lists this ribosomal RNA (403 nucleotides) under uncultured bacterium. RNAcentral's name for it is "bacterial SSU rRNA". It matches the Rfam family "Bacterial small subunit ribosomal RNA", at positions 356 to 773 of the family's 1533-position model. The record is from RNAcentral.